UUAUUUUCCUCAAAUAUUCUCUGUUUUUCAGAAUAUUUUAAGAAAUUAAGAAAUACUCCAGUUCAUACUUCCCAAGUAAGACUCAGUUUUUUGAUUAAUCAAGAAUGGAAGCAGGUGAAGAAAAAAUGGAAGUUUACCCUUUUCAUCUUCUCCUCAGGACUUUACCUGCAAUAGCAUCCUUCCUUGCCCUUGGUAUUUGCUCUGUCAUCAAUGGUCCUUCUCUUCUAGAUCUAAGGGACUUACUGGAUUCCACCAUUGGAGAGAUAUCUUUCUUAUUUAUGCUGGGAUCUAUUGGAACUAUGUCUGGAUGCUUUGUAUUGGGACUACUUAUGGACAGAUUUGUCAGGUUACGCUACCUUAUAAUUGGGUUGUUGGUGGCAGGGCUGGGACUCUUCACAUCUUCUAUUCCGUAUUCUCAGAAUCUGGUUACUCUAUACUGUCUAGGAUUUUUUAGUGGAUUUUGUGGUGGAGCAUUAGAUGCAGGAGCUCAGGUCUUACUGCUAAAUAUUUGGAAAGGGAGGGAAUCAGGACCUUACAUGCAUACUCUACAUUUUAUGUUUGGAGUCGGAGCGUUCAUAGCCCCUGUUAUAGCUAAACCUUUUCUGAGCAAUGUUGAAGAAGUUUUGGAGAAUGAGAACGCGACUGUUACUGAAAACUUUACUUCUUUUGUAAAUUCUACAACAUCUGAAAACUCCAAUAGGUCUGCAUUCACAAAGAUGGAGGGGCUUUCUGAUCUUGCCACGUAUAUCUCCUACAAUGGAUCUUCAGAAAUGGAUCUGGAUUUGAUUGGAAACAGUUUGACAAUAAAAACUCUCUAUCCGCUUAUCGGACUCUUUACUUCUAGUAUUAGCUUAGGGUUUUUCUUCUACCAAUUUAUGGAUAUGGAAAAUCCGGUUGAUGCUGAUUUGAAGGAAGAAGAAAAGCAAUCUGAUAAACAGUCCUCGCCUGUAGGCAGAAAAAUGCUAGUUUUGGUCAUUCUUAUGAUUUUCUUCUUCUUCUAUGUUGGAUUAGAAGUUGCCUUUGGAACAUUUCUCACAACAUUUGCGGUCAAAUGCAAGCUAGGUUUAAGCCGAGGAGAGGGUUCCUACCUUACUGCUGUAUUCUGGGGAUCCUUUGCUUGUAUGCGGGGAGUAGCUAUUCCAGCAGCAAUUUACAUUAAACCUGAGAUUAUCAUGUUCUCCUCCUGUUUCCUAUGUGUAGUUGGAUCUGUGUUCCUAAGCGUUUUUGCUGAAACAUAUGUUUACCUUCUGUACACCUGCACUGCAGUUAUGGGGAUAGGGAUGGCCUCGAUUUUUGCAACAGGUUUACUGUGGUUGGAGAAAAGGAUGGAAAUAACAAAUAGAAUUGGAGCUGUCAUGACUAUAUCAGCUGCACUGGGAGCUAAAAUAUUCCCUGUAAUGGUCGGACAAACUGUAGAGAAAUAUCCAAUGAGUUUCAUGUAUAUCAUGUUGGGAAUAUCUACAGGUUGCACUAUUCUGUUUGUCAGUACCAGUAUACUAGGACGAGAUCUGGAGAAAACCAACCUUGAACUUGCCUUAGACCCUAAAGAGGAGGAGGAGCUCCCUCUCAACCCUAUCAUCAAAAUCAACCCUGAAUCUGACCUAGCAAACCUCAAGUCGUCAAAAGCAGCAGAAGUUGAAUUGGCUUUAAUAACCCCUAAAUCUAGUCAAUAGACUCGUUUUAAGUUUUACAUAUCUUCUUCAAUAAUGAAAGGGAGCUCAAAUCAGAUUUCGAAGCUAAUAUCCAAAUAGCCAAUAUACUGAACUUUAUAUCCACAUCGUAAACUAGAACAAAUAGUGGCUUUACUGGAAAUCCACCAAAAGAUUAUUAAGAAAUAAUUAAAAGAAAAGGUUUGGCUGUAUAAUUAAUAAUUAUAUUUCAACCUAAAUUGAACCGCGCGAGGGGAGAAUGAAACCCGUGUUAAAAAGGUUUUGAACUCUGAACUAACUUAUCAACAUCAUUCAUAUGGAUAUAUUGUGCCAUGCCCUGACAGCAGUUUUAUAUUUAGUUUCCUUUCAGAUUUAUCCAAUGCAUUUACCGCUUUUUCAAGUUAAUUAAAUGUGAUUCAUGUUUUACCAAACCAACUUUUUACCUAUUAUGUUUACAACUUUAUACAUUACAUCGUUGUUUGUUCUGUAAUCUAUAUUUAAUUGUUAUUUAAUUCGACCUCGUCUGUGACACUCAUCCCGGUUUUUCCAAAAAUUUACAAUUUUUAUUCGUUUCAGA
RNAcentral lists this unclassified non-coding RNA (2226 nucleotides) under Eurytemora carolleeae. Its description in RNAcentral is "sodium-dependent glucose transporter 1A-like". Lineage: Eukaryota; Metazoa; Arthropoda; Copepoda; Calanoida; Temoridae. The record is from RNAcentral.